AUACGUAGGGGGCGAGCGUUGUCCGGAAUGAUUGGGCGUAAAGGGCGCGUAGGCGGCCCGGUAAGUCUGGAGUGAAAGUCCUGUUUUUAAGAUGGGAAUUGCUUUGGAUACUGUCGGGCUUGAGUGCAGGAGAGGUAAGUGGAAUUCCCAGUGUAGCGGGGAAAUGCGUAGAGAUUGGGAGGAACACCAGUGGCGAAGGCGACUUACUGGACUGUAACUGACGCUGAGGCGCGAAAGUGUGGGGAGCAAACAGGAUUAGAUACCCUGGUAGUCCACACUGUAAACGAUGAAUGCUAGGUGUAGGGGGUAUCGACCCCUUCUGUGCCGCAGUCAACACAAUAAGCAUUCCGCCUGGGGAGUACGGCCGCAAGGUUGAAACUCAAAUGAAUUGACGGGG
This 397-nucleotide ribosomal RNA is filed under the name uncultured bacterium. Its description in RNAcentral is "partial 16S ribosomal RNA". It matches the Rfam family "Bacterial small subunit ribosomal RNA", at positions 523 to 918 of the family's 1533-position model. The record is from RNAcentral.